This 254-nucleotide ribosomal RNA is filed under the name uncultured bacterium. RNAcentral describes it as "partial 16S ribosomal RNA". It matches the Rfam family "Bacterial small subunit ribosomal RNA", at positions 524 to 777 of the family's 1533-position model. The record is from RNAcentral.
UACGAAGGGGGCGAGCGUUGUUCGGAAUUACUGGGCGUAAAGGGCGCGCAGGCGGUCCUUCAAGUCAGAUGUGAAAGCCCCGGGCUCAACCUGGGAACUGCAUUUGAGACUGGAGGACUUGAGGACGGGAGAGGAGAGUGGAAUUCCCAGUGUAGAGGUGAAAUUCGUAGAUAUUGGGAAGAACACCGAUGGCGAAGGCAGCUCUCUGGACCGUUACUGACGCUGAGGCACGAAAGCGUGGGGAGCAAACAGGG